GCGGGCGGGGACGCGGGUCGUCCGGCCGUACGCCGGGGCGAUGGUCGCCUACCAGCGGUGGGCGCGGGUGCCGGGCCCGCUGCUCGCG
RNAcentral lists this transfer RNA (88 nucleotides) under Sphaerisporangium krabiense. RNAcentral describes it as "tRNA-Tyr". Lineage: Bacteria; Bacillati; Actinomycetota; Actinomycetes; Streptosporangiales; Streptosporangiaceae. The record is from RNAcentral.